This 252-nucleotide ribosomal RNA is filed under the name uncultured bacterium. RNAcentral describes it as "partial 16S ribosomal RNA". It matches the Rfam family "Bacterial small subunit ribosomal RNA", at positions 524 to 776 of the family's 1533-position model. The record is from RNAcentral.
UACGGGGGGGCAAGCGUUGUUCGGAAUUCCUGGGCGUAAAGGGCGCGUAGGCGGCCCGCUAAGUCGAACGUGAAAUCCCCGAGCUCAACUCGGGAACUGCGUCCGAUACUGGUGGGCUUGAAUCCGGGAGAGGGAUGCGGAAUUCCAGGUGUAGCGGUGAAAUGCGUAGAUAUCUGGAGGAACACCGGUGGCGAAGGCGGCAUCCUGGACCGGCAUUGACGCUGAGGCGCGAAAGCUAGGGGAGCAAACGGG